RNAcentral lists this ribosomal RNA (402 nucleotides) under uncultured Brevundimonas sp. Its description in RNAcentral is "bacterial SSU rRNA". It matches the Rfam family "Bacterial small subunit ribosomal RNA", at positions 355 to 774 of the family's 1533-position model. RNAcentral also lists the same sequence under 1 other name. The record is from RNAcentral. Lineage: Bacteria; Pseudomonadati; Pseudomonadota; Alphaproteobacteria; Caulobacterales; Caulobacteraceae.
UGGGGAAUCUUGCGCAAUGGGCGAAAGCCUGACGCAGCCAUGCCGCGUGAAUGAUGAAGGUCUUAGGAUUGUAAAAUUCUUUCACCGGGGACGAUAAUGACGGUACCCGGAGAAGAAGCCCCGGCUAACUUCGUGCCAGCAGCCGCGGUAAUACGAAGGGGGCUAGCGUUGCUCGGAAUUACUGGGCGUAAAGGGCGCGUAGGCGGAUCGUUAAGUCAGAGGUGAAAUCCCGGAGCUCAACUUCGGAACUGCCUUUGAUACUGGCGAUCUUGAGUGUGAGAGAGGUAUGUGGAACUCCGAGUGUAGAGGUGAAAUUCGUAGAUAUUCGGAAGAACACCAGUGGCGAAGGCGACAUACUGGCUCAUUACUGACGCUGAGGCGCGAAAGCGUGGGGAGCAAACA